Molecule: long non-coding RNA, 156 nt
Organism: Notechis scutatus (mainland tiger snake)
Lineage: Eukaryota; Metazoa; Chordata; Lepidosauria; Squamata; Elapidae
Source: RefSeq, a predicted model, not a curated record
AGUCUCUCCACUUUAGCUGGUAAGAGAAAAAGAAACAGACACGGCUGGCUGGGGGAUUCUGGGGGUUGAAGUCCACAAAUCUUAAAGGUGCAAAGUUUGGAGUUUUAAGAGUGAAAGGCAGCCAGGGGAGACCUGAAAAAUUAGAAUUGCAUCAUU